UUCGGUUCCGCUCGCUCCCAGCGCUAGGUCAGUGCCGCCGCCGCCCCUCCCUCAUCUCCCCGAUGGCUGCCACCACCUCCUUCCAUCCUUCCGCGCCCACCAUCCUCCCCUGAACGGAACGCGCCGCCCUCCCCGUCUCCCAUGGAUCUGACGCCGCCCCUGCAUCAAUCCAUCCGGCCGUCGCCACCCCUCCAUCCAUCCGGCUGUAGUCGUCCCUGCCUUCUCCGUCUGGCCGCUGAUGCAGGUUCCCCGUCUCCCCAUAAAGCCGGAUCCGUCACCGUCCAGGAGCUCGGCGGCCCGUACGUGGUUAGGAGCUUGGCGGCCUGUGGUCAGAGCUCAGAAGCUCGUCGCCCCGCCGUCCACGAAGUUCCUUCUCCACCUUAUGUGUUCCAAAUUCAGAUGCAUAUAGCAACCUCUUGCUAUCUAAUUGCACGGUUAUUGAAGGUUCUGGUUCUGGAUGCUUUGUCGGCAGUCCUCCCGUAGGAAUUGCUUGAUCUGGUGUUUGCUUCUUCUUUUUUACUCUCUUUUUUAGACAAGAGCUGAUGUUUGUUUCUAUGUAUCUAGCUACCGUGCAUGUUCAGAUGCUCGUCUAAAUUUCUAUGUAUUUAGUGAAUUAUCUUUGUUUUCCAAAUGGGUUUGUAGAGAUAUGCGUAGAUGAAUGAUCUACAGAUGCAGAUGUAUUCACAGAUAUGUGUGUGUGUACAGUAUUCAUCUACAGAUGCAGAUGUAUUCACAGAUACGUGUGUGUACAGGUGAAAAAAAUAAUGUUCAAGUCUUAUAGAUG
Molecule: long non-coding RNA, 784 nt
Filed under: Brachypodium distachyon (stiff brome)
Lineage: Eukaryota; Viridiplantae; Streptophyta; Magnoliopsida; Poales; Poaceae
Description: long non-coding RNA (BDIS_LNC001825)
Source: RNAcentral